AACAGUCUGCGCAUCUCGAUAACCUUAUGCCUAAAUAACCCGAACAAUCUUAUUUAUUAGGGAAUCUUACUCCGACUUGUGGGAAUGCAGGCCUCCCUCUUUUGAGGAAGUUGGAAGCACAAAACCUGUUGGGAGAUACCCACCUGCUUUAAACGCAGGUUAUAUUCGGCAAAGGCGGAUGUGCGGACAUUAU
RNAcentral lists this non-coding RNA (193 nucleotides) under Oscillospiraceae bacterium. RNAcentral describes it as "6S RNA". It matches the Rfam family "6S / SsrS RNA". Rfam says of the family: E. coli 6S RNA was the first non coding RNA to be sequenced, but its function was unknown until recently. It consists of 184 nucleotides that fold into an extended hairpin structure with a large single-stranded internal bulge. Lineage: Bacteria; Bacillati; Bacillota; Clostridia; Eubacteriales; Oscillospiraceae. The record is from RNAcentral.